GACGAACGCUGGCGGCGUGCUUAACACAUGCAAGUCGAGCGAGAAAGCUCUUCGGAGUGAGUACAGCGGCGAACGGGUGAGUAACACGUGGGCAACCUGCCCUAGGGAGCGGGACAACCCGGGGAAACUCGGGCUAAUACCGCAUGUCCCCCUUGGUCAUAAGACUUUGGGGAAAAUGGUAGCUUCGGCCUCCGCCCUUGGAUGGGCCCGCGGCGCAUUAGCUCGUUGGUGGGGUAACGGCCUACCAAGGCAACGAUGCGUAGCUGGUCUGAGAGGACGAUCAGCCACACUGGGACUGAGACACGGCCCAGACUCCUACGGAGGCAGCAGUGGGGAAUCUUGCGCAAUGGGCGAAAGCCUGACGCAGCAACGCCGCGUGCGGGAAGACGGCCUUAGGGUUGUAAACCGCUUUCAGGGGGAC
This 421-nucleotide ribosomal RNA is filed under the name uncultured bacterium. Its description in RNAcentral is "bacterial SSU rRNA". It matches the Rfam family "Bacterial small subunit ribosomal RNA", at positions 28 to 445 of the family's 1533-position model. The record is from RNAcentral.